This 4686-nucleotide long non-coding RNA is filed under the name Homo sapiens (human). Its description in RNAcentral is "non-protein coding lnc-TNNT3-4:1". Lineage: Eukaryota; Metazoa; Chordata; Mammalia; Primates; Hominidae. The record is from RNAcentral.
GGCUGUGAGCAGGCAGGACUGCCCUCCCGAAGCAGGUGCAGAACGAGCAUUUGGGGAAGGAGAAGACACGUGUCCGCACCUGCAGCUGGUGGGGUGGGAGGGUGAGCUGCCUGCAGGGUGGUGGGGGGCAGCCCGGGGGGGCUCCUGAGGAUGCACAGCUCCCUCCCAAGGCCAGGGCUCUGGGCACUGGGGUCCAGGAGAGAGUUUUGCUCUGCCCAUGGCCAACAGGUAGGUGCCCAGAUGCUGUUCUGUGGUGGAGUGAGGGGACCUUAUUCCCUGGGGCCCAGAGGAUGCCCAGCUCUGCCAAGGGCCUUGAAUGACUCCAUCAGAGGAGGUCCGGAGCCCCAGGGCCAUUCCCUGAUUCCUGUCACUUUCCCAGGAUGCCCUCCCUCACCGGGUCGGCUCCCAGCUCCCCUUGGAGUGAGGAGGGCUGGACCCCACUGAGUCCAUCGCAGACCCCAGCUGGCCGGGCGCAUGGCUUCCCGUCUCCUCUCUGGGCUUGGUCCUCUUGUGUGAGGGGUCACGGCCCAGGCACCCAUCUCCUCUGGGUUGAGGCUGGAGGGUGUCUCCGGGAAGCCCCUACGAGUGCAAAACCUUGCUGUUGAUCUCAAGACCCCGGGCGGAGACGGGAGGAGGAGGGUGGAGGAACGAAGACCAGAUUCCUGGAGGACGAUUCUGUUGAGCCUCCAAUUCCCUGGACUGAUUAUUUGCUUAAGUCAGAACUCCCGGCCGGAUGGGGCUGGGGCCAGGAGAUCAGGGAGAGGGUUCUUUCCUGGACAGGUCUGCUUAUCCCAAGGGCCAAUUAGCAGUAGCAGAGCCUCAGCAGGAGCUUGCUUGUCCUGGGAGCAGGGGUGAGCUUAUCUGCUCCGAGGGGUGCCCUGCCGGGCCUCGGGGCCUUGGAGAGGGGCCGGCUCCGUUCUCCGUCUCCUGGAAAGCCAAGGUGGGAGGUAGCAUCUGGAAUUAGAUGCGGUUGAGGAUGCUUCCUGACUGGGAGGGGGUUUUGCUCCUCCCUGGGACCACAGCAGGACAUUUGAAGCACCAGGAUCCCAGCGGGGGCCUGUGGGGAGGCAUGGCCAUUUCUAAAUGAGGCUCUGGGUACCUGGUGGCCCAUGGAGCGGGGCUCUGGGAAUUGCCUCCUGCGAGCGGCCAUUGGAGGGGGAGGUAUUACCCCCACCGGUGUCCUCAGCCAGUCCCUCCUGGAGUCCUCAGAGCCCUCAACAGGCUCUCACCUGGCCCUCCGCUGCCAGGGCUGGACCAGAGGCUCUUCAGGAGCUUGUGCUCUUCCGCCCCCAGAGCUCCAGCCUGGACGCCUUGGAACUGGCCGUCCUGAGCUGGACAGCCAAGAUGCGAUGGUGGCUGUGCUGGGCUCCAGCCCAUGGUGGCCUCCAAGGUGGUGCUGGGGCCUUAGGGGAAAGGGUUGCUUUUCAUGGCUGGCUGAGGGGAUGGCAGAGCUGUCCUCCGUUCCGCCUCCUUUACCCAUGGAUGCGGCCGCAUGCGGGUCUCCAUCAUUGUCCUAUCCUUGACCAUCUGGCUAAGACUCAGGGACCCACAGCAGCCGCUCCCCCACUGGCUGUCUGGGAAAAGGCCCACAUUGCCGGGCACACACCAGGGUGGCCAGGGAUUGGUCACUGCCUGAAUGUCCCCGGACCGAUGCCCGUGUGCCCUUGGGCAGCCUUCCCCUCGGACAGGCUGUCCAGGCUGGGAAACCCUGAGCCAGAGGGAUUAAGAAGAAAGGACAGAGUCGACUGUCCCCUUGGCUAAUUUGUGCUUCAUUUAGUGUAAUUUUGCUCAGUGGUCAAAACAUAGAGGUGAUGACACCGAGGGUCCAGACAUGUCCCAUCUCCAGGGCCAACCUCCUGCAGAUCCCCAGCCCCGCCCAGCCCUGCCUGCUGCGCCCUGGGCCUGCCUCUGCCCUCACAGCCAUCCUGUACAUUCCUGUGUCUCAGUGGCGGGGGAUAGGGGGUGGGGGAAGGGUCUCCGAUACACCAGGGGGUGCAGGGACCCUCAGCAUGGGUGCCCAGGCAGCUCUCUAUGGAAAUGCAGGAUUGGGUCAGGACCCCAGAGCUGUGCAGGGCCCUCUGUCCCCAGCCCAAGUCCUGAGUCCCUCUUGCCAGCCUCUGCUGCUCCGCGUGUGGUAGGAGCUACCAGUCUGGGGUCCGGGCUGGGCGCAUUCAUGAUGCCUGCCUGGGGUCUGAGCAAAUCCUCCCCACGGGGUCUGAGCAAGUCCUCCCCACGGGGUCUGAGCAAAUCCUCCCCACGGGGUCUGAGCAUGUCCUCCCCACGGGGUCUGAGCAAAUCCUCCCCACGGGGUCUGAGCAAGUCCUCCCCAUGGGGCCUGAGCAAAUCCUCCCCACGGGGUCUGAGCAUGUCCUCCCCACGGGGUCUGAGCAAAUCCUCCCCACGGGGUCUGAGCAAAUCCUCCCCAUGGGGUCUGAGCAAAUCCUUCCUAUGCCGUCUGAGCAAGUCCUCCCCAUGGGUUCUGAGCAUGUCCUCCCCACAGGGUCUGAGCAAGUCCUCCCCACGGGGUCUGAGCAAGUCCUCCCCACGGGGUCUGAGCAUGUCCUCCCCACGGGGUCUGAGCAAGUCCUCCCCACGGGGUCUGAUCAUGUCCUCCCCACGGGGUCUGAGCAUGUCCUCUCCACGGGGUCUGAGCAAGUCCUCCCCAUGGGGUCUGAGCAUGUCCUCCCCACGGGGUCUGAGCAAGUCCUCCCCACGGGGUCUAUGUCCUCCCCACGGGGUCUGAGCAUGUCCUCCCCAUGGGUUCUGAGCAAGUCCUCCCCAUGGGGUCUGAGCAAGUCCUCCCCACGGGGUCUGAGCAAAUCCUCCCCAUGGGGUCUGAGCAAAUCCUUCCUAUGCCGUCUGAGCACAUCCUCCCCAAGCUGUGACCGAGUGUCCCUCCUGCAGGUGGAGGAUGUUGCUAGGAUGCACCUUGAAGGCACCCCAGCCUCGCCGGAGCGCCCCCUCCUCGUAGCCUGGGGUGUGGCUGGGUGGUCUGGGGUCCUGGGUGCCUUGUGAUGCUGGCCCCAGGGUCCACUCAGCACCGUCCUGGUGUCGUCAUCAGCUGGAGGCUUCCCGGGGCCUGUGCUGGGGGUGGAGAGCAGGGAGAGGCAGCAGGGUUCUCCUCAGGGUGGGGUUGCUGGGAAGCACCAUCCCACCUGUCAGACUGGCCUUGACUGUAGACACCCCAGGUGACCUGGAAGGACAGACGGACCCCAGGUGAUGAGAAAGGACCAGAGUCUGACCUCUCACCCCUCCUAAGCUCUGAACUCCCGUUGGCUUGCCUGACCUCCAAGUCCUCCUGGGGCUGAACCCUCUACAGAUGCCCCUCCUGGGCCCUGGGGUGGGCCCGGUUUAGCUCUCCAUUGUGGCUGAAACCCCCAGGGCUUCAGUGCUGGCUUGAAGAGGGGGUGGGGCUCCCCAGGCGUGGGGAUUGGCAGUUUUUUCCUCCCCUCUUCCCAAACUUUCAGACUGGACCACUUAAGAAUAAUGAGGUCCAGGUGGUUCCGCUUGAGCCUGGAUCCUCACUGGCUGUGGGACUGAGCUUCCCCUGCCGGUCCCACCUCCCACCGGGAGCAGCUAAUGACAGCCAGAGGCUGGAAGGUGAAGCUCCCCUCGGCUGUCAGGCGGGCCGCAGGGCAGGGGCUGGGCAGGCCAAGGGCGCCACUCUCCUGCCCAGGCCAGGGCACCCGAUCACUGCACCACACCCCUUGUGGCCGUCUGUCCAGCCAGGGCCCUGCUGCAGGUGCUUCCCGUGGGACUGUAGGGAGAACAAUCAAGACUUCUGCCUCCUUGGUCGAGCAGGGCUGCCUCCCCAUCUCAUCUACUGGCAAGGAGGCUGGGCACCUUCAGGGAGCUUCAGUUUGGGAAGAGGGAGGAGGUCUGAGGUGGAUGGUGGCGAUGGCUGCGCAGCAGUGAGAAUGGACUGAGUGCCACUGAUGUGUGUGCUCCAUGGCUCCGUGGCUCCGUGGCUCCGUGGCUCAGUGGCUCAAUGGCUAUAAUGGCUAGUUUUGUUACAUAUUUUCACCAUAAUAAAACAAAACAUGUCCAAGGUGCUACAAGGAGGGAGGAGCCCCUGGAGCACCCGCCUGCCAUCUCCCAUCUGCCAGGCAGCAUCCCUCCACUGGCUCUCUGGGAGGGGUUCCAGGCCUCCAGCCUCCCUGUGGCCCCCAUCUGCCUCCAGGAGAUUUGUUCCCUCUCUCCUGCCCCGAAACCCUCGAGGCAGCCCUGCUCUUGGUCACUGCAGAGGAAGUGGCCCAGGCUUGGCCCAGGCCAGCUGUGGCCUCUGGAGGCAAGAUGUGGGGACUCACAGUGUUCGAAGGCCACACCCCCCCGAGCACAUGGGCUCCAGUGCCUCUGAGGCAAAGAGCAGGCAGCACCGUGCGCACAGCAGUGGGAGACACAGCACAGCCACCAGGGCAGCCCCCAGGCAGACGGCGGGCCUAGAGAGGGCGGGAUGACACAAGAAAGGUUCUCCUUUGGAGACGGCGAGGUCAGGCAGGUGGGAGAGGGUUCACGGUGCUUGAGGUGCAGAGAGAGGAUGGUGGAAUGGAAAACGUAGGGUGACUUGUCGGGGACAGGCCCAGGGCCACAACUCGGGCAGGCCUAUUGCCCGAGUUUUGGGUCCCAUCCUGGCAGGCAGGGGAGAGAAUUCUGAAUUUUUUAAUGAAACGGAUAGUUGAGGGCUGG